UGGGGAAUAUUGCACAAUGGAGGGAACUCUGAUGCAGCGACGCCGCGUGAGUGAUGAAGGAAUUCGUUUCGUAAAACUCUGUUCUAUGGGAAGAAAAGGACUGUACCAUAGGAGAAAGCUCCGGCUAAAUACGUGCCAGCAGCCGCGGUAAUACGUAUGGAGCGAGCGUUGUCCGGAAUUAUUGGGCGUAAAGGGUGCGCAGGCGGCUUUACAAGUUGGAUGUGAAAUAUCGUGGCUCAACCACAAACGUGCAUCCAAAACUGCAAAGCUUGAGUUAAGGAGGGGUAAGUGGAAUUCCUGGUGUAGCGGUGGAAUGCGUAGAUAUCAGGAGGAAUACCGGUGGCGAAGGCGACUUACUGGACUUAAACUGACGCUCAGGCACGAAAGCGUGGGGAGCAAACAGG
RNAcentral lists this ribosomal RNA (404 nucleotides) under Fusobacteriota bacterium. Its description in RNAcentral is "Fusobacteria bacterium partial 16S ribosomal RNA". It matches the Rfam family "Bacterial small subunit ribosomal RNA", at positions 355 to 776 of the family's 1533-position model. The record is from RNAcentral. Lineage: Bacteria; Fusobacteriati; Fusobacteriota.